RNAcentral lists this ribosomal RNA (1436 nucleotides) under uncultured Bordetella sp. RNAcentral describes it as "partial 16S-23S ribosomal RNA intergenic spacer". It matches the Rfam family "Bacterial small subunit ribosomal RNA". Lineage: Bacteria; Pseudomonadati; Pseudomonadota; Betaproteobacteria; Burkholderiales; Alcaligenaceae. The record is from RNAcentral.
AGUUUGAUCCUGGCUCAGAUUGAACGCUGUGGCGGAUGCUUUACACAUGCAAGUCGAACGGCAGCACGGACUUCGGUCUGGUGGCGAGUGGCGAACGGGUGAGUAAUGUAUCGGAACGUGCCUAGUAGCGGGGGAUAAUCACGCGAAAGCGUAGCUAAUACCGCAUACGCCCUUCGGGAAAGCGGGACCUUCGGCCUCGCACUAUUAGAGCGGCCGAUAUCGGAUUAGCUAGUUGGUGGGGUAACGGCUCAAGGCGACGAUCCGUAGCUGGUUUGAGAGGAAAUGACCAGCCACACUGGGACUGAGACACGACCCAGAUCACGGGAGGCAGCAGUGGGGAAUUUGGACAAUGGGGGAAACCCCUGAUCCAGCCAUCCCGCGUGUGCGAUGAAGGCCUUCGGGUUGUAAAGCACUUUGGCAGGAAGAAACGGCACGGAUAAUACCCUGUGCAACUGACGGUACCUGCAGAAUAAGCACCGGCUAACUACGUGCCAGCAGCCGCGGUAAUACGUAGGGUGCAAGCGUUAAUCGGAAUUACUGGGCGUAAAGCGUGGCGCAGGCGGUUCGGAAAGAAAGAUGUGAACUGCCUUUAACUGAAAACUGCACUUUGACCUACCGAGGCCAGAGGUACAGGAAAGUAACUGCAAAUGCGUAGCCAUGCGGAUGUAACGCCGAGCGUGAAGGCGCCUCUAGGGCAAAUACUUACGCCCCGCAAAACGAAAGCAAAGUUGGCUUAUAUUGCCUGUAUCCGCUGCCGCAACGAUAACACCAUGCUGUAGGCCUCGCCUGAAGCAUUAACGCAGAAGUUGUCUUCAGGGAAGUAUCGUAGCCGCAAGAUUGCCAAACCGUGGAAUUGACGGGGACUCCGCACAAGCGGUGGAUGAUGUGGAUUAAUUCGACGCAACGCGGAAAACCUUACCUACCCUUGACAUGUCUGGAAUCCUGAAGAGAUUUGGGAGUGCUCGCAAGAGAACUGGAACACAGGUGCCGUAUGGCUACGUCAGCUCGUGUCGUGAGAUGCUGGUUGGAGUCCCGCAACGAGCGGCAACCCUUGUCAUUAGUUGCUACGAAAGGGCACUCUAAUGAGACUGCCGGUGACAAACCGGAGGAAGGUGGGGAUGACGUCAAGUCCUCAUGGCCCUUAUGGGUAGGGCUUCACACGUCAGUACAAUGGUCGGGACAGAGGGUCGCCAACCCGCGAGGGGGAGCCGUCCCAGAAACCCGAUCGUAGUCCGGAUCGUGAAGCCUGCAACCGACUGCGUGAAGUCGGAAUCGCUAGUAAUCGUGAUCGCAUGUCGCGUGAAUACGUUCCCGGGCUCCGGUACGCCACCGCCCGUCACACCAUGGGAGUGGGUUUUACCAGAAGUAGUUAGCCUAACCGUGCGAGGGCGAUUACCACGGUAGGAUUCAUGACUGGGGUGAAGUCAUCGUUGCAG